UGAGGAAUGUUGGUCAAUGGGCGAGAGCCUGAACCAGCCAAGUAGCGUGCAGGAUGACGGCCCUAUGGGUUGUAAACUGCUUUUAUGUGGGGAUAAAGUGCGUGACGUGUCAUGCAUUGCAGGUACCACAUGAAUAAGGACCGGCUAAUUCCGUGCCAGCAGCCGCGGUAAUACGGAAGGUCCGGGCGUUAUCCGGAUUUAUUGGGUUUAAAGGGAGCGUAGGCUGUCUAUUAAGCGUGUUGUGAAAUUUACCGGCUCAACCGGUGGCUUGCAGCGCGAACUGGUCGACUUGAGUAUGCAGGAAGUAGGCGGAAUUCAUGGUGUAGAGGUGAAAUGCUUAGAUAUCAUGACGAACUCCGAUUGCGCAGGCAGCUUACUGUAGCAUAACUGACGCUGAUGCUCGAAAGUGCGGGUAUCAAACAGG
Molecule: ribosomal RNA, 424 nt
Filed under: Fusobacteriota bacterium
Lineage: Bacteria; Fusobacteriati; Fusobacteriota
Description: Fusobacteria bacterium partial 16S ribosomal RNA
Rfam family: Bacterial small subunit ribosomal RNA
Source: RNAcentral